Molecule: ribosomal RNA, 627 nt
Filed under: Pityophthorus glabratus
Lineage: Eukaryota; Metazoa; Arthropoda; Insecta; Coleoptera; Curculionidae
Description: eukaryotic LSU rRNA
Rfam family: Eukaryotic large subunit ribosomal RNA
Source: RNAcentral
CGAAGGGAGAAAUUCAUUCGCGUUUCGUUGACGGCGUAGUUCGAUUCUGCGACGGGGGCGUGCUUGCACGUUUCCCGCGCGUUUCGUUCGACGAGCCGACGACGAACGCGUGCACUUUUCUCCUGGUAGGACGUCGCGAUCCGUUGGGUGUCGAUCUACGAUCCACGGUGGAGCCCGUCGACGGCGUUUCGGCGCUCGUUAACGGACCCGUGAAAUCCGGUCGACUCGCUCGACGGUAUACGAACGGUUAGGGGCCGCUCCUAUGAGCGUUCGACCGAUGGCAAGCGCGCCGAAUCAGUUGGCGAUCGGACCUGGUGCCGAUUCCGACAUUCGGUGACUGUUGGCUGUCGAGUUCUCGGACAGACCUCUUAAAACCGAUCUGCGACGCUAUAGCUUUGGGUAAUUUCAGGACCCGUCUUGAAACACGGACCAAGGAGUCUAGCAUGUACGCGAGUCAUUGGGAAGCAAUAAACCUAAAGGCGUAAUGAAAGUGAAGAUCUUCCUUGCGGAGAUCGAGGGAAGAGGGGCGUCUUCUUGACGCUCCGCAUUCCCGGGGCGUCUCGUUCUCAUCGCGAGAUGAGGCGCACCAAGAGCGUACACGCUGGGACCCGAAAGAUGGUGAACUAU